RNAcentral lists this ribosomal RNA (275 nucleotides) under uncultured prokaryote. RNAcentral describes it as "partial 16S ribosomal RNA". It matches the Rfam family "Bacterial small subunit ribosomal RNA", at positions 524 to 798 of the family's 1533-position model. The record is from RNAcentral.
CACGUAGGGGCGAGCGUUGUCCGGAAUUACUGGGCGUAAAGAGCUCGUAGGUGGUUUGUCGCGUCGUCUGUGAAAUUCCGGGGCUUAACCUCGGGCGUGCAGGCGAUACGGGCAUAACUUGAGUACUGUAGGGGAGACUGGAAUUCCUGGUGUAGCGGUGAAAUGCGCAGAUAUCAGGAGGAACACCGGUGGCGAAGGCGGGUCUCUGGGCAGUAACUGACGCUGAGGAGCGAAAGCAUGGGUAGCGAACAGGAUUAGAUACCCCGGUAGUCCCU